Molecule: non-coding RNA, 202 nt
Organism: Oryza meridionalis
Lineage: Eukaryota; Viridiplantae; Streptophyta; Magnoliopsida; Poales; Poaceae
Source: Rfam
AGCUAGUGGAGUGUAGUAAGAGCCCAACGUUUGACCGCCCGUAUUAUUUGAAAUUUUUUUAUGAUUAGUGUUUUUAUUGUUAUUAGAUGAUAAAAUAUGAAUAGUACUUUAUACAUGACUUAAUUUUUAAAAAAAAUCACAAAUUUUUCAAAUAAACCAAACGGUCAAAUAUUUGACAUAAAAAUUUAUGGUUAUACUUAAA